This 464-nucleotide ribosomal RNA is filed under the name uncultured bacterium. RNAcentral describes it as "partial 16S ribosomal RNA". It matches the Rfam family "Bacterial small subunit ribosomal RNA", at positions 29 to 507 of the family's 1533-position model. The record is from RNAcentral.
ACGCACGCUGGCGGCGUGCUUCACACAUGCCAGUCGAACGGUAAGGCCCCUUCGGGGGUACACGAGUGGCGAACGGGUGAGUAACACGUGAGCAACCUGCCCUUGACUCUGGAAUAACAGUUGGAAACAGCUGCUAAUACUGGAUAUUCAUCGUCUCCUUCCUGGGGGGUGGUGGAAAGCUCCGGCGGUCAGGGAUGGGCUCGCGGCCUAUCAGCUUGUUGGUGAGGUAAUGGCUCACCAAGGCUUCGACGGGUAGCCGGCCUGAGAGGGCGACCGGCCACACUGGGACUGAGAUACGGCCCAGACUCCUACGGGAGGCAGCAGUGGGGAAUAUUGCACAAUGGGCGCAAGCCUGAUGCAGCAACGCCGCGUGCGGGAUGACGGCCUUCGGGUUGUAAACCGCUUUCAGUAGGGACGAAGGGUGACUGACGGUACCUACAGAAGAAGGACCGGCUAACUACGUG